GCCAAUUGGACGUUUAUUUGAUAGCUGCAUCUGUUCGAUGUUCGAAUUGAUAUCAAGGGAAUCCGGAACGUCGUCGAAACCGUUACUCUUCCGUGCUCGGGAAAACGCUUUCAGACAACCUGUUCCAGAAAUUACGAGGACAAUUCCUCCGUUAACGAAGUCAUUGCGGAAAUUUACUCUUUCCAAAGAGUAAUCUAUCACCGGAUUUUAUCUCGUAACGAGACUGGUCGUCCAACACUAGCGAACUAUUCUCGACAAGAUUCUGUAUCGAAUUUGUUUUCUAGUUAUUAUACAUUGCAUUUGAUCGUGAUAUGUAUAUAUGUUAUACGUUCUUUUUUUUUUCUUUUUAUCAUUUUUGCUUUUCAUCUGUACCGAUACACGUAUUACCUUUGCCCUGAAGAAACCAUUUGUGCCUAAAUGCUGCUUAGACUUCUUUUCCACAUAAUCUUUAUUUCACAAGAUUUUUUAGAGAAAAGAAACGUUUUAAUACAUCGAUGUUACUGCUGUUGUUAGCCCUGUAACAAUUAAAGUUGUUCCACGCGAAACAUACUCGAAGUACCAAAACCGAAAGACACAGUUCCGAUAAUAUUUCACAGACGUUGUUCUACUUUCUUCGCGACGUUCGAACAUACGUAGCUUGUCAGCUUAGCUAGCAGUGAAAAAUAGCGUAGUACUAAAUAAAACCGACGUUACACCUACUGCAUUCAUAAAUCACGUAGCCUGUACAAUGUAACAAAAAACUGGUCAAACGAAAUACAAAUCAAGUCUUUCGUAGUCAUUUACAGACAAACGCGCGAGCGAGAAACACGCCCGCUGCAAUAUAUUUAGAUAUAUAUAUAUAUAUAUAUAUCGUUUACAAACGAUAACAUUAGUAUCAAAUGAAAUUAUAUCGAACAGAGUCAUCCUAUUUGCCUCUGAAGCGUCGAUUUCUUCACGCUUCAAGAACUACGGAGUGGCAGAUCGUGAUGCGUCUAAUUCGACGAACAAUUGCAGUUCGGGAAAGCGAAACGUGCUCGUUAUUCCGCGAGAACAGAAAGAUAAACAAAGAUAGAGACCAAUAAAUCAUUGGUAUCGAAAGAAACAUCGUGGAUCUGUCACUGGCUAUUGUAAUUCCAGUAAUUAAGAGAAAAUUAAAGGCUGUUAAGUCGCAGAGCUGCAAUAAGACACGGAGAAUGAGAAACGAAUCGACAGACGCAGUGCACCGAGAGAACGAGCAAAACGUCGCAUCGGAGCGAAAAUGAAGUGAGAUGAAACGAAGUAAUUAAGAUAAAAUCGGUCAGGCGAGUCGGAUACGUGCACCAAGGAUAGGACGAGAGUAUAAUAAAGACGGAACAAUACGCUAAUUAUAGAUAUGAAUCUUCAAGGAAAAGCAACGUCUGUUCGACGGAAAACGUGUGACAAAUUUUCGAUGAUACGUUUUAGCGGCGAGGUCUACGAGAGCUCGAAAGAAACUGUUCUUCAUCCCAAUUAGAGAAGGGUUCAGAAACAUCGAUACUUUGUCGGCUGUUACCGUUCAGUUCGUUUACUCCAUGAGAAUAUUAAUGACUCGACGAUGGUAUUCAUACAUGCACGGUAUGUGAUGUAAUUUCUCUUUCGUAUAUACUUUCGUAAAUAACUCGAUAAAUAAAUGCAAUCAAUACGUCGAUAGUAACAAAUAUAUCAAUGGGUUAAAAACAGAUGAAAAAUCUAAAGAACUAAAAAAGAUGUGUAUACGAAUCGUUAUUGCAAAUACUGUAAUGUAAUUUUUAUAUAUUUCGAUUAAAUUCAUCCUUCCUAGUAGCAGAAUAUUUCUUCUUUCCGGAUUUUAUCACACGGGCUCUGAAUCAGCGUAGGUCCGAGUCGUCGAACCGAAACUCGUAGCUGAAAAAUCGCCAGAAACGACGACGCAUUGGAAUGCCCCUGUCCAGUGCAGAUCGAUCUCUUUUUAACCACGUCGCGCGUCGCUUCGAAAAAGGCAGUGCAUCCCUUGACGAGUUCAUUUGCAUAAAAAAAUAAGCACAACCAUGAUGUAUCGUUUUGUUUUUCUCUUAUUCCUUGUAUGGUAUAUCGUAUUAUUAAUAUAAUUCUAUACAACGGCAGAUUGCCGUGACGAUA
Molecule: long non-coding RNA, 2094 nt
Organism: Bombus huntii
Lineage: Eukaryota; Metazoa; Arthropoda; Insecta; Hymenoptera; Apidae
Exons: 2
Source: RefSeq, a predicted model, not a curated record